CCUACGGGUGGCAGCAGUGGGGAAUAUUGGACAAUGGGGGCAACCCUGAUCCAGCCAUGCCGCGUGUGUGAAGAAGGCCCUCGGGUUGUAAAGCACUUUCAGUGAGGAAGAACGCCUGGUGGUUAAUACCCAUCAGGAAAGACAUCACUCACAGAAGAAGCACCGGCUAACUCCGUGCCAGCAGCCGCGGUAAUACGGAGGGUGCGAGUGUUAAUCGGAAUUACUGGGCGUAAAGCGCGCGUAGGUGGCUUGAUAAGCCGGUUGUGAAAGCCCCGGGCUCAACCUGGGAACGGCAUCCGGAACUGUCAAGCUAGAGUGCAGGAGAGGAAGGUAGAAUUCCCGGUGUAGCGGUGAAAUGCGUAGAGAUCGGGAGGAAUACCAGUGGCGAAGGCGGCCUUCUGGACUGACACUGACACUGAGGUGCGAAAGCGUGGGUAGCAAACAGGAUUAGAUACCCCAGUAGUC
This 465-nucleotide ribosomal RNA is filed under the name Vreelandella stevensii. Its description in RNAcentral is "partial 16S ribosomal RNA". It matches the Rfam family "Bacterial small subunit ribosomal RNA", at positions 338 to 795 of the family's 1533-position model. The record is from RNAcentral. Lineage: Bacteria; Pseudomonadati; Pseudomonadota; Gammaproteobacteria; Oceanospirillales; Halomonadaceae.